UCCUCUUUUUUAAAAUCUCUAACAUGAUAGGGUAUUUAUAAUACUCCUAUCCUACUCCUACUCAACUAAUAAAAUAAAUAACCAAAUCCUAAUAUACUAAUGAAAUCCUUGACCCAAUUGUACUAGGGUAAGGUUACAAAAUUAUAAUCCAAAUAGAAUGAUGAAACACAUAACCUAAUUGCACUAGGUUAAUGUAUUAUGGCAAAAAUCCAGCUUUGUGUCUGUAAGUCCCAAAGUCUUCAGAAAUGCUGUUUUAGCCCGGGACAGAUUUUCCAUGCAGCAGAU
This 285-nucleotide long non-coding RNA is filed under the name Capsicum annuum. Its description in RNAcentral is "long non-coding RNA (CANN_LNC007799)". Lineage: Eukaryota; Viridiplantae; Streptophyta; Magnoliopsida; Solanales; Solanaceae. The record is from RNAcentral.